GAGCAGUCUUUUCCAUCUGGGUUCCAGACUGAGUUGAGAAGGUUGGGGUAAGCUUUAUAGGAAGGACAUAGGUUGAAUUUGGGAGGCCAGUAUGUGUAGGAAGCCCAGCCAUUCUCAUAAACACUCAGCACAUGUCAGACCAGGGGGCUGGGAGGUGGGGGGUAGAGCAGCAGGUGUGCUGCCUGCACUGUUCCUCCUGGAAUGCUGUUGCUUAGCAACAAGAU
Erinaceus europaeus (western European hedgehog) is the source of this 224-nucleotide non-coding RNA. Lineage: Eukaryota; Metazoa; Chordata; Mammalia; Eulipotyphla; Erinaceidae. The record is from Rfam.